GUGUUCUUCCGGUGGCAUCUA
This 21-nucleotide microRNA is filed under the name Melibe leonina. RNAcentral's name for it is "mle-miR-263a-3p". Its record names the gene mle-miR-263a-3p. Lineage: Eukaryota; Metazoa; Mollusca; Gastropoda; Nudibranchia; Dendronotidae. The record is from miRBase by way of RNAcentral.